GUCGAACGGUGAACGGGGCUUCGGCCCCCGGAUCAGUGGCGAACGGGUGCGUAACACGUGGGCAACCUGCCCCUCACUCUGGGAUAACCCCGGGAAACCGGAGCUAAUACCGGAUACUCCGAACGGUCCACAUGGUCUGUUCGGGAAAGGUCCGCCGGUGAGGGAUGGGCCCGCGGCCUAUCAGCUUGUUGGUGAGGUAACGGCUCACCAAGGCGACGACGGGUAGCUGGUCUGAGAGGACGACCAGCCACACUGGGACUGAGAUACGGCCCAGACUCCUACGGGAGGCAGCAGUGGGGAAUCUUGCGCAAUGGGCGAAAGCCUGACGCAGCGACGCCGCGUGGGGGGCGACGGCCCUCGGGUUGUAAACCCCUUUCGGCAGGGACGAAGCGAUUGUGACGGUACCUGCAGAAGAAGCCUCGGCUAACUACGUGCCAGCAGCCGCGGUAAGACGUAGGAGGCGAGCGUUGUCCGGAUUCAUUGGGCGUAAAGAGCACGCAGGCGGUUUGGCAAGUCGGAUGUGAAAACCCGGAGCUCAACUCCGGGCCUGCAUCCGAUACUGCCCGACUAGAGGUAGGUAGGGGAGAUCGGAAUUCCUGGUGUAGCGGUGAAAUGCGCAGAUAUCAGGAGGAACACCGGUGGCGAAGGCGGAUCUCUGGGCCUUACCUGACGCUCAGGUGCGAAGGCUAGGGGAGCAAACAGGAUUAGAUACCCUGGUAGUCCUAGCCGUAAACGUUGGGUGCUAGGUGUGGGCGGAUAUCAACCCCGUCCGUGCCGAAGCUAACGCAUUAAGCACCCCGCCUGGGGAGUACGGCCGCAAGGCUAAAACUCAAAGGAAUUGACGGGCCCCGCACAAGCGGCGGAGCAUGUUGCUUAAUUCGAUGCGACGCGAAGAACCUUACCUGGGCUUGACAUGCAGGUGAAACCCGUGAAAGCGGGCGCUGUUCGAGCCUGCACAGGUGGUGCAUGGCUGUCGUCAGCUCGUGCCCGUGGAGUGGUGCCUUAAGUGCCGACGAGCGCACCCCUGUCUUAGUUGCCGGCGGUCAUGCGGGACUCUAGGAAACUGCGUGCAACCGGAGAA
RNAcentral lists this ribosomal RNA (1081 nucleotides) under uncultured Actinomycetes bacterium. RNAcentral's name for it is "bacterial SSU rRNA". It matches the Rfam family "Bacterial small subunit ribosomal RNA", at positions 61 to 1171 of the family's 1533-position model. The record is from RNAcentral. Lineage: Bacteria; Bacillati; Actinomycetota; Actinomycetes.